GACGUAGGGGGCGAGCGUUGUCCGGAAUUACUGGGCGUAAAGGGCGUGUAGGCGGCCUUUAAAGUCAGCUGUGAAAUCCCUUGGCUUAACUGAGGGCUUGCAGUUGAAACUUAAAGGCUUGAGUGCAGGAGAGGAAGGUGGAAUUCCCAGUGUAGCGGUGAAAUGCGUAGAUAUUGGGAGGAACACCGGUGGCGAAGGCGGCCUUCUGGCCUGUAACUGACGCUGAGGCGCGAAAGCUAGGGGAGCAAACAGGAUUAGAUACCCCUGUAGUCC
Molecule: ribosomal RNA, 273 nt
Filed under: uncultured bacterium
Lineage: Bacteria
Description: partial 16S ribosomal RNA
Rfam family: Bacterial small subunit ribosomal RNA
Source: RNAcentral